CAGGAAUGGAGUUUGAAGCACUUUUCAAACAUUUGCAAGCCUGUUGGCGGUCAGCAGUGGUCUUAGCCGCCGCAUUAAGGCUCCUAACGCCGCUGCAGCAGGCUGGAGGAGGCGCAGCUACGCCUUUCCUCAGAUAGGGAAUACAUGCUGAUACUGAACUUGCCACCUGCCCACAUGUAAUUGCAGCUUCGGCCAGAGGUGCACCCACCACCAUGCACAUCACCAACACACAAGCUAACUUAGUAGCCAUUGAGCAAGCCAUUAUAUAUAAAUUAUGGCAAGUAUUAAAGAAGGAAGAGA
This 300-nucleotide long non-coding RNA is filed under the name Jatropha curcas. RNAcentral describes it as "long non-coding RNA (JCUR_LNC002625)". Lineage: Eukaryota; Viridiplantae; Streptophyta; Magnoliopsida; Malpighiales; Euphorbiaceae. The record is from RNAcentral.